RNAcentral lists this ribosomal RNA (432 nucleotides) under uncultured bacterium. RNAcentral describes it as "partial 16S ribosomal RNA". It matches the Rfam family "Bacterial small subunit ribosomal RNA", at positions 29 to 507 of the family's 1533-position model. The record is from RNAcentral.
AACGAACGCUGGCGGCAUGCCUAACACAUGCAAGUCGAACGAGACCUUCGGGUCUAGUGGCGCACGGGUGCGUAACGCGUGGGAACCUGCCUUUAGGUUCGGAAUAACUCAGAGAAAUUUGAGCUAAUACCGGUUGAUGUCUUCGGACAAAGGAUUUAUCGCCUUUGGAUGGGCCCGCGUUGUAUUAGUUAGUUGGUGGGUAAAGGCCUACCAAGGCGACGAUCCAUAGCUGGUCUGAGAGGAAGAUCAGCCACACUGGGACUGAGACACGGCCCAGACUCGUACGAGAGGCAGCAGUGGGUAAUAUUGGAGAAUGGGCGAAAGCCUGAGCCAGCAAGGCGGGGUGAGUGAUGAAGGGCUUAGGGUUGUAAAGCUCUUUUACCCGAGAUGAUAAUGACAGUAUCGGGAGAAGAAGCACCGGCUAACUCCGUG